Molecule: ribosomal RNA, 492 nt
Filed under: uncultured bacterium
Lineage: Bacteria
Description: partial 16S ribosomal RNA
Rfam family: Bacterial small subunit ribosomal RNA
Source: RNAcentral
AGUGAACGCUGGCGGUAGGCCUAACACAUGCCAGUCGAACGGCAGCACAGUAAGAGCUUGCUCUUACGGGUGGCGAGUGGCGGACGGGUGAGGAAUACAUCGGAAUCUACUUUUUCGUGGGGGAUAACGAAGGGAAACUUACGCUAAUACCGCAUACGACCUACGGGUGAAAGCAGGGGAUCUUCGGACUUUGCGUGAUUGAAUGAGCCGAUGUCGGAUUAGUUAGUUGGCGGGUUAAAGGCCAACCAAGGCGACGAUCCGUAGCUGGUCUGAGAGGAUGAUCAGCCACACUGGAACUGAGACACGGUCCAGACUCCGACGGGAGGCAGCAGUGGGGAAUAUUGGACGAUGGGCGCAAGCCUGAUCCAGCCAUACCGCGUGGGUGAAGAAGGCCUUCGGGUUGGAAAGCCCUUUUGUUGGGAAAGAAAAGCAGCAGGUUAAUACCCCGCUGUUCUGACGGUACCCAAAGAAUAAGCACCGGCUAACUUCGUG